RNAcentral lists this long non-coding RNA (206 nucleotides) under Elaeis guineensis (African oil palm). RNAcentral describes it as "long non-coding RNA (EGUI_LNC074729)". Lineage: Eukaryota; Viridiplantae; Streptophyta; Magnoliopsida; Arecales; Arecaceae. The record is from RNAcentral.
CAUAUGAUGGAUGCUAUAAUUUUUUAUAAAAAAUAGAGAUAUUUUUAUGAUAAAAAAUUUUGAAUGAUGGAAAUGCUCUUAUUCUUUGAAAAAAAUUAUGACAUCUGAGGUCAAAAUAUGACAUCUGAGGCAGGAAUAUUUUUGUUAUACAAAAGUCAACCUAUAAAAUAUUAAAUGCGUAUUGAAAAAUGAUGACUAUGCGGAUC